UCUGGUCUUGGGACACUGUCAGGUGGGCAGUUUGACUGGGGCGGUCGCCUCCCAAAAGGUAACGGAGGCGCUCAAAGGUUCUCUCAGUACGGUCGGAAAUCGUACGUAGAGUGUAAAGGCAAAAGAGGGCUUGAUUGCAAGACAUACAGGUCGAGCAAGGAUGAAAAUCGGACUUAGUGAUCCGGUGGUUCUGCGUGGAAGGGCCAUCGCUCAACGGAUAAAAGCUACCCUGGGGAUAACAGGCUUAUCUCCCCCAAGAGUCCACAUCGACGGGGAGG
Molecule: ribosomal RNA, 278 nt
Filed under: Clostridioides difficile
Lineage: Bacteria; Bacillati; Bacillota; Clostridia; Peptostreptococcales; Peptostreptococcaceae
Description: partial 23S ribosomal RNA
Rfam family: Bacterial large subunit ribosomal RNA
Source: RNAcentral